This 465-nucleotide ribosomal RNA is filed under the name uncultured bacterium. Its description in RNAcentral is "partial 16S ribosomal RNA". It matches the Rfam family "Bacterial small subunit ribosomal RNA", at positions 28 to 507 of the family's 1533-position model. The record is from RNAcentral.
GACGAACGCUGGCGGUGUGCUUAACACAUGCAAGUCGAACGGAAAGGCCCUGCUUGCAGGGUACUCGAGUGGCGAACGGGUGAGUAACACGUGGGUGAUCUGCCCUGCACUUCGGGAUAAGCCUGGGAAACUGGGUCUAAUACCGGAUAGGAGCCAUUUUUAGUGUGAUGGUUGGAAAGUUUUUUCGGUGUAGGAUGAGCUCGCGGCCUAUCAGCUUGUUGGUGGGGUAAUGGCCUACCAAGGCGGCGACGGGUAGCCGGCCUGAGAGGGUGGACGGCCACAUUGGGACUGAGAUACGGCCCAGACUCCUACGGGAGGCAGCAGUGGGGAAUAUUGCACAAUGGGCGCAAGCCUGAUGCAGCGACGCCGCGUGGGGGAUGACGGCCUUCGGGUUGUAAACUCCUUUCGCUAGGGACGAAGCUUUUUGUGACGGUACCUAGAGAAGAAGCACCGGCUAACUACGUG